GCCUGUGUGAUGCCCGUCUCUCAUUUCUUACCUGUGCCCCCUGCCACAGCGUGCGCGUCUGUGUAUCUGUGCGGCCGCCCUCCUCUCCCCUCUCACACGUCCCUUCAGCUUCGUUUCACCUCCUGUCUCUCCAAGCAAGUGCGCACACGCAAAGCAUCUCUCCCUCCUUCGUUCUUCUCCUCAAUACGUCCUUCCCCCGACGGCACGCCGUCGGGGGAAGGCAAGCAGUUGGCUGGAGACGCAGUUCUGCGCACCUAGACACAGCACGUACAUCGACGCGUCCACCGCAGGCGAAGAAGUGAGGAGAAUCGACGUCGCCGCCGGGGCCACAAAAGCAAGUAGGGACGAAAAGAAGAUCCAGCAAAGCGUUGCGAGGGAAGCGUCAUUUGGUGUCCGUGUGCAUUUGUGUAUGCAGCGUCCGCUCUCGCUCUCUUUCGGCUCUUUCUUUCUCUCAUCGCCUCCUCUGCCUCGAUCGCCCCCAUCGAUCUCUCUUUGGGGGGCGCUUGUGGCGUGUCUGCACCCAUCCUUGCUCUUCCCUGUCUCGCGCUGUCACCUCAUUCCGCUCCUUCUACGGAGCACAGAGACGCAGAGGCGCACAGUCAAACGUAGCCCUACUCAUCCAUAAACACCUCUACACAUCUCCCUGCCCUCGCUGAUCUACGCAGGCCCUGUGGACCCUGUGAACCGGCACCGUCGUUGGCUCUCGCUCUCUUCUUUCCGCCCGCUCUGCUGAAGGGCGAAGCCGCUUCUGUGUGUGCGGCUCGGUUCUUUGACUUGAUGCGCUUCAUACUCUGAAAUCCUUUUGUUUCUGUUUUUGAAUCUUGCAUGGACAUGCUUCCUUUUCGUAGUCUUGUCUCUGCUGGCGCUGCUGCUGCUGCUGUUGGCUCUGUGCCCGUGUGUGCGGCGCGCACCCUCUCUCUCUGCGACGCCUACCCGCAACACCUUCGCCCUGUCUCGAGCUUUCUCUGCGACCUCCGCACUCAUCUGCACGGUGGCACGAAGAAGACGGGUGUAGAGAAAGCUGAUUUUUGUACACCGGAAGCCCCCCCCCCCUCCUCGACCCAAAACUGCGCGCUGUGUGCUCUGCGAGAGGGAGGAGGGCAGCGACGAUCGGACAGCCUUUUUGGACCUGCUUUGCGCUCUUCUCGAAUCCCUUGCAGCUCCCUCUCUACCACCUCCCGUUUUCUCCGCCGUCCGCCAAUUUCGCAGCUGAGGACGCGUCGACAGCCGCCAAGAAAAGAGAGCCACCACCGUGUUGUCGAGUACUCCUAGAUCGCUUGUUCACGUCUUCGUAUUCCGAAGCGCACGCGCACACAGUCACACACAUACACACAUACAUAUCCACACUGGAACGCAAAGGCAGCGUAGGGGAGACGGGAUCAGUCGCCGAACGACGCUCUUUAAAUAUAUAUAUAUAUAUAUUUUCGUGCAGUUUGAGUGAUUGAAUCUCCUAUCAUGCCCCGCUUUCGAGGCCAUUCUCCGCACUAGUUUUUCUCAUUUUAUUUCCAGCCAUCCCCUCCCCUCAGGCCGCACUGCCGGCAGAAAGGAAGACAUCUCGCUUGGUUUGGCCAGUGUGACAGACACAAUCUCGCCUUCCUCUCGUU
Molecule: unclassified non-coding RNA, 1604 nt
Filed under: Leishmania donovani
Lineage: Eukaryota; Euglenozoa; Kinetoplastea; Trypanosomatida; Trypanosomatidae
Description: gene:unknown
Source: RNAcentral